GGCGGGGUUAAACAUGUUAGCGGGAUCCCAACCCUCCCCUAACUGGACAGUGGUAUAACAGUACAACAUAAGAACGAACUAUAAAAAUCAGUUGAAAAAGGCUUAACUCAUCAGAUGGACAAAAAUACAUACAUUUAAUGUUCGGCUUCCUUUCCAGUUGAGGGCCUUCAUUGCUAUCAUAUGAUUCUUUAUUAUAUACAUCGAAUUUCUCUAUUCUUUAUACUUUUUGUCCAAAAUUCUCUUUUUUUUUCUAUAUUCUUCAUAUUAUUUCCUGAUUAUUCUCCUUUAAGUCAAUCCACUACAUGAUUUUUUUCCUCCCCAAAUCAAAAAGCAACAGCUUUUGUGAAAAAAUAAGUGAAAUAUAAAUACGCGUAUAUAUGCAUUGUUUGUUUAAAUAGUUGAAUUGUAUUAUUU
Molecule: long non-coding RNA, 414 nt
Filed under: Mytilus galloprovincialis (Mediterranean mussel)
Lineage: Eukaryota; Metazoa; Mollusca; Bivalvia; Mytilida; Mytilidae
Source: RNAcentral